Gymnodraco acuticeps is the source of this 1777-nucleotide long non-coding RNA. RefSeq lists it as uncharacterized. The record is from RefSeq and is a predicted model, not a curated record. The transcript is spliced from 4 exons. Lineage: Eukaryota; Metazoa; Chordata; Actinopteri; Perciformes; Bathydraconidae.
GCAGUCUGAGUCGGGGAAACAACUGAGGUGCCGUAAUUACAGUUGCCGUUCGUGUAUUCUACCGAGCUACCAUUAAUAAGCUAGAAGCUCUAACCUAGAGAUGUUAUGAAAAACAUUGUUUUCAUGCCAGCUACAAUGAAUGACCGAACGUAGCAGACUAACUGUAUAAUAUUGCAAUUGUAAGAUGUUCUUGCUAAGCCUAGACUAGCUGUUAAACUGCAUAUUAGGUUAGCAUAUUAGCUGGCAAGCUAACUGUGUUGAUUACUGAUAAUCAUAGCUGGAGAAUUUCGUCUGCAAACACACACGAAAUACUCAUAGACAGUAUACUCUGGCUGAUUUAACGUACGGUCAGUCGCCAAACAUAAUUACAUUGAAGUUGGCGGUCCUAGCAGCUAUGCUACUGUGCUACAAAGAGUCUGAAAUAUUACGCUACAUGGGAAAAGGUAGCAGACUAUCUGUAGAACAUUGUAAUUGUAAAAGUGUUGCUUUUAUGAAAUUGACUGUUUUCCUCGGAUACAAAAUUAAUUGUAUGAAUACUAUGUGUAUCUUUCUUAGAGUACAUCACAGCAGGAACACAAUACCCACCGCUCCAGUACAGUCGGAUGUCAAACAGACCGUCCACAGACUGUUUGUGUGGGAACUCAGAGGGUUGAGACACGGUCUGUUGGAAUGUAAAGUGUCCGCCAUUUCUGUUACUACACAGUUGGCCCGGGGAACACUGAAAUCGGCACACGUGAGAAGCAAAGGUAGACUAUAACGCUGACAAAUCACAGAUACAUUACCUUAAUUGUGCUUUUAUUACAUGUACAGCACUUGGGCUCGACCAACAAUCGUAGGAUCCUGUAGGAGCCGCAAGCGAUGCAAAUAAACCUUACCUAAAAGGUGGCUCAAUAACACUCGCCAGAGUUGAAACGAUACUCGCCAACAAGAGAGUUCUCAAAGAUGUGCUAAAGCUAAGCCAUCACUACCAGACCUCAUCCCUGGAGUCCUUCCACAACUUAAUUCUGCGUUUUACCCCAAAAAAUGUGGUUUUCCCCUUCAUUGGAAUGUUGUGCAGGUUGUGUCUAGCAGCAAUGCAUCACAACGAGAAUGCUGGGCGUGACCAAGCGACAACUGCUGCAGGAAAACUUGUCUUCAAAUUGGCUUAUCCAAAAUCAAAGAGGGGAGAGUGUACGGUCAAGCCUGUUAAGAACGACCCUACAUACAUCUAUGUGGAUGAGCUGACGAGGCUUGUGUUUCACAAAGUCUUUCUGGACCCUACACCCUUUGUGGACGAGCUGAAACGAAUCCACGUCCCAGAGGACCUGUCAACUCAAUUUGACAGGCCCCCCAAGGAGGAAAUGAUUGUCAGCUGUUUCUCCCGUUUCCCCCCAAAGGAGGUCGAAAUCCUACAUAUUGUCCAGCCAGAUCUGGAAACUCCUGGCGGAUCCGGAGCACAACACACGACGGAAUCACCACUCUGAUGCCUCGCCCUAAAUAUCCCCAGCACCAGCUUACAAAGCUGCGAUACGCAAAAUAUCGAAAACGCUUAUCAGGAGAGGAAUGGAUGAUGUACAGUGUAUAAAUAUACAUUCACACAUUUUGUACAUUUGUAAAAAUAAAGUUUGAUGGAAAUACUUAGGAGCCUUUCUUUCCUGAAUUAUUUGCUCCGAUAACAUAUCAUUCAUAUAUAGCAAACCAUGAUUUGAUUUUUCAUCAAACGGUAGUAGUUUAUUACAGGUAACAAUAACUUACUCUUCUUCCGUUGUAUUUGUCAAAGGUCCGAAACUAUAUUUAU